This 200-nucleotide ribosomal RNA is filed under the name uncultured prokaryote. RNAcentral describes it as "partial 16S ribosomal RNA". It matches the Rfam family "Bacterial small subunit ribosomal RNA", at positions 1184 to 1382 of the family's 1533-position model. The record is from RNAcentral.
GUCAAAUCAUCAUGCCCCUUAUGUCCCGGGCUACACACGUACUACAAUGGCGGUCAACAACGGGAAGCGAAGCGGCGACGCGGAGCAAAUCCCCAAAAGCCGUCUCAGUUCGGAUCGCAGGCUGCAACCCGCCUGCGUGAAGUCGGAAUUGCUAGUAAUCGCAGAUCAGCCAAGCUGCGGUGAAUACGUUCCCGGGCCUU